CACAGAUUUAACUGGUUGGGUUAUAGGAAAGAGAAGAUGAUUAUCAAAGCAGGAGCGCUCACCUUUUUAUAUUAGAACCUCCACCGCCUUGGAGAAGCAGAACUCUCAUUAAAUGUAGAUCGUGAAUGAAAUAUUAAUUGAAGGUUUUAAGGGAAUUAAUCUGUAACUUGUAUCUUUGUGAUGAAGAAGAUGGAAGAUUGCUUGACGCAGAAGAGGCGAAGAAGAACACGGGAAUAACCCUAGACGACAACGCUGCGUUUAGUUCCAGACUCAAUAUUAAAUGAAACGCCGAGUUUCGAUUUUCUUGGACACGUGUCCGCGCGAAAACGAACGAAUUAUCUACGUGUAUUGCUCAGGAGAGAUUCAAACUCUUCUUUAUAUAUAAAGAUGUUAAGACUUAAGUUAGCGGAAUAAUUCUGUCAUUAUCUAUUUAGCUUCUACAUUCUUAUUGGUUAACAGUUAUCGUAUCUAUAUAUAUAAAGGGGAGUUUUCUCUCACCUCCUGCUGCCACAUCAUCUCUAUGCAUAUGGCAUUUUGUGCCACCUGUCCACUUCUUAAAAAAAACUAUCGGCAAGUUUAUGUUUUCCCUGUGUUUUGUGUAUUGGGCCAAGUGCAUUGAAUCAUAUUUAAUCCAUAAGACCCAAUAGUUUUUAGGGUUUUGUCCAACUCGCUGGUCCACCUCCGUAUCUCCUCGGAUCUCGACGCCUCCGGCAGCGGCUACCGUUUGUAUUCUUCUGACGUAUUAGAUCAACCAUUUACGUUUCAGUGGGCUUUAAAUACAUAUGCUAUAAAACAAAAGAUUUCUAUUGAUGAAUUUAAGAAACAUGCAUGUAACCAGACGGUUGGUACAUGUCUUCUACGUUUCUUGAGGCGCUUGAUGUGAAAAGAGGGUGAGCUCAUGGUCGCCGACAUGAUGCUUCUUGAUGAAAAGGUAUGUAUCUAUGUGAUAAGCUUCUAAAAUCGUUAACCCCAAAUUUGCGGAAGGUUCCCUGCGUUCCAAGACGUAGAUUGUCAAUAUUUUUGAUUUGUGUUCUUUUCCUUGAGUCCCUUGAUAAUGUGUUUUACAUUGAUUUGGUAGCCAUAUAAACAAUUACCGUACUUUAACUUUCAGGUUCUUCCAUAUUUUUUUUCCUUAAGUUUCUAAUGUAUAAUUAUGUUGGUUUGAACAGCCCUACUGCAAUUCGUGUGCUUAAAGCAGCACUCAAUGAUCAGCAUGUCAGAAUUCAAGUAUGUCUCAGAUGCUUAGUUGUAGUGACAAACUCAUUAUAAAAGGAUUUAUAAACUUUUUUUCUAGGAUGCCGUGAAUGAGAGACACUCUUAUUCUAUGGAACCGAAGAAGCUACUAAAGAAAGAAAGUCUUACUGCUUGAAAACUCUGUUGAAUUUCCCAGUAAACUCUUGACUGGAAAGGUGAACCUAAGGAAUCUGAAGUCACAUUCCUAGCUUUAACAUUCAGUUAUAAAGUUAAUCACAACACUGAGUUGCUACCUUUGGUACACUCCCCAAGUCCUACCAAACAGAUGUAUGUAUUUUCUUAAGAAAUAUUUUUUCAAAUC
Brassica napus (rape) is the source of this 1555-nucleotide long non-coding RNA. RefSeq lists it as uncharacterized. The record is from RefSeq and is a predicted model, not a curated record. The transcript has 3 exons. NCBI's taxonomy places the organism in Eukaryota, Viridiplantae, Streptophyta, Magnoliopsida, Brassicales, Brassicaceae.